Molecule: ribosomal RNA, 948 nt
Filed under: Cymbium olla (pot-bellied volute)
Lineage: Eukaryota; Metazoa; Mollusca; Gastropoda; Neogastropoda; Volutidae
Description: small subunit ribosomal RNA
Rfam family: Microsporidia small subunit ribosomal RNA (bases 223-944)
Source: RNAcentral
AUAAUUGAUCUAAAUUGUGUAUGCUUAUACUAUAUUAUUUUAGAUUUAAGUAAGCAAUCUGUCUUUAGGAAAAUUUAAACUUGGUUCUGAUUUGCUUAUAUGGUGGGUGCUAAAGAAUAUACAUGGUAUUUUUAGAGAGAAGUAAGGAGAGAUAUUAUACAAAAGUAAAAAACAUGAUUAUAUCUAAUAAUAUUAUUUAUAUAGAAGAUGUUAUGAAAGUCCUACUAACAUCAGUAUUAAAUAUUAAGUAAGAGCGAAAGCUUGUCUUAGUUGAGUUAAAGAUAUCUGGUAAAUUUAGUGCCAGCAGCCGCGGUUAAACUAAAGGAUCAAAUCAUAUAUUAGGUGGUUAAAGGCAGUUAUACAUAGUAGUUAAUGAGUUUUAUAAUUUUUUAUUAAAAGGUGAAAUUUGUAUAUAGACAAAUAAUACUAAUGUUUCUUAAAUGUUGAAGCUGCGAUAGCCUUAAGGGAAACCGGGAUUAGAUACCCCGUUAUUUUGGCUGUAAAUAUAUUAAUUUAUACCGGAGUAUUACGAAUUUUAAAUAAUUUAAAACUCAAAGAACUUGACGGUGUUUUAGACUUUUUAGGGGAACCUGUCUUACAACCGAUAAUCCACGUUAUACCUUAUUCCCUUUUGUGAUCAACUUGUAUACCGUCGUCGUCGGGUAACUUUUAAAAAUAAAGGAGUUGGCGGCAAGAAUUAAAUUAUUUUCCACGUCAGAUCAAGGUGCAGUAAAUAAGGGAGAAAAGAUGGGUUACAAUUAUUUAGUUUUAACAACGGAUAGUGGGAUUAAAUUCCAUUCUGAAGGAGGACUUAAAAGUAAGAAUUUUUAUAAAAAUAUUUUGAAUAUAGCUCUGAAGCGUGUACAUAUCGCCCGUCGCUCUCUUUGAAAAAUGAGAUAAGUCGUAACAUAGUAGGGGUAAUGGAAAUUGCUCCUAAGUAUUUUAGGU